UCGGGAAUUUUGGGCAAUGGGCGGAAGCCUGACCCAGCAACGCCGCGUGAAGGAUGAAGUAUUUCGGUAUGUAAACUUCGAAAGAAUAGGAAGAAUAAAUGACGGUACUAUUUAUAAGGUCCGGCUAACUACGUGCCAGCAGCCGCGGUAAUACGUAGGGACCAAGCGUUGUUCGGAUUUACUGGGCGUAAAGGGCGCGUAGGCGGCAAUUCAAGUCAUCUGUGAAAUCUCCGGGCUUAACUCGGAACGGUCAGAUGAUACUGCUUUGCUAGAGUGCAGAAGGGGCAAUCGGAAUUCUUGGUGUAGCGGUGAAAUGCGUAGAUAUCAAGAGGAACACCUGAGGUGAAGACGGGUUGCUGGGCUGACACUGACGCUGAGGCGCGAAAGCCAGGGGAGCAAACGGGAUUAGAUACCCCCGUAGUCCCUGAGCGGGCUGGCAAGGCGCAU
RNAcentral lists this ribosomal RNA (447 nucleotides) under uncultured bacterium. RNAcentral's name for it is "bacterial SSU rRNA". It matches the Rfam family "Bacterial small subunit ribosomal RNA", at positions 355 to 825 of the family's 1533-position model. The record is from RNAcentral.